AAAGCGUUAAGUAUUCCACCUGGGGAGUACGCCGGCAACGGUGAAACUCAAAGGAAUUGACGGGGGCCCGCACAAGCGGAGGAACAUGUGGUUUAAUUCGAUGAUACGCGAGGAACCUUACCCGGGCUCAAACGACACAGGAAUACUUUUGAAAGGAGGUAGCUCUUAGGAGCCUGUGUCGAGGUGCUGCAUGGUUGUCGUCAGCUCGUGCCGUGAGGUGUCGGCUUAAGUGCCAUAACGAGCGCAACCCCCAUCGCCAGUUACCAGCAAGUCAAGUUGGGGACUCUGGCGAGACUGCCGGCGCAAGCUGUGAGGAAGGCGGGGAUGACGUCAAAUCAGCACGGCCCUUACGUCCGGGGCGACACACGUGUUACAAUGGCAGGUACAGAGAGAAGCAAUGCGGCGACGCAAAGCGGAACUUGAAAGCCUGUCUCAGUUCGGAUUGGAGUCUGCAACUCGACUCCAUGAAGCUGGAUUCGCUAGUAAUCGC
This 490-nucleotide ribosomal RNA is filed under the name uncultured bacterium. RNAcentral's name for it is "bacterial SSU rRNA". It matches the Rfam family "Bacterial small subunit ribosomal RNA", at positions 854 to 1345 of the family's 1533-position model. The record is from RNAcentral.